RNA transcript from Musa acuminata AAA Group (dessert banana), 2348 nucleotides. It is a transcript of the gene named FCS-Like Zinc finger 8-like, with no coding region annotated. The record is from RefSeq and is a predicted model, not a curated record. Lineage: Eukaryota; Viridiplantae; Streptophyta; Magnoliopsida; Zingiberales; Musaceae. The transcript has 5 exons.
UUUCGGUGCCGAGUCGUACUUCCCCAUGUGCCUCACUCACCUGUACGACCCAGAAGGAAACACAGCGUGCGCGUACGAUCGAGAACGAAACAGAGCCUCCGCACUGCACCGGGAAGGGGAAAAUACGUUGUCGCGGCAGCGUCACCUCCUUCAUCCACCGCCGAGCCCGGUUGUGGAUUCCGCAGGGCUCGCAGAAAGGCGCGAUCUUGAGCGUGGGUUCCCGGCUUCCGGUGCUCAAUUUGCUUGGCCUGCAAGAAAGAUGGCAGCUUGAUUAGGACGAGCACUUCAUCUGAUUUCGGCGAUAUUGUUCUCAAACAGUCUCUUACAGAGACUGAGGGGUUUGAUCAAGAAAGAAGAAGGAAUAAAGGGAAGAAGGCUGGAAUACGCAGAAUCCAUAUUGACCAAAAAGGAGAGAUUUUGUGGUCCUUUUUUAUUCUUCUUCAACAUGGUAACCUCAUCUCUCUGUUGAUUGCCAGUCCAGAUUGAGAGAGAGAGAGAGAGAGAGAGAGAGAGAGGAAAAGAACCAGCUGCUUUAUCCUCCUCCUUUUGUUCUCUGUUUCAAGUCUUCCAUUUUGGUCUGCCUCCCUAUUUGCAGCAGCUUAUUUCCAUGUUCCUGAGAUCGAAGAUUCAAGAUAUUAUUCUGAGGGAGAGGUCCAAGGCAGUCAGCAGGAAAAAAGAGUUGAUGCCCGAUACUACCUCUUCCCCACCUCCCAACCCCGCCUUCACUUCUCCAAAUCUCCUUGUGGAGGGCUGCUCUGUGAGGAAGAGUUCCAUGUACUCUGAGGACGCAAUAGGUCCCAAGUCCAUGCUAGCGACCAUACCAUUCUUUGCCACUGGGAACCGGUCCUCAUCUGAUAGUAGAGACUGCAAGACAAAGCCCCUGUCAGUAGAGACUGCAGCUGCCACCACUGGUACUGAGAGCAGACACCAUCCUUGGCACAAUCGAAGGUCACGAGCCAUUGGACUUGGCCUUGUUGAUGCUCUGAGCAAUGAGGAGACUGGUGAUGUAGGGUGUACGAUGGUUGUCUUUGGGUCUCAGCUUAAGAUUCAAACACUUCCUGGUCUAUCCAACUCCAUGUCCCCUGUGUCCAUUGAGUCUCCUCGGUCUAUCAUGGAGUUCGGUAGCAAGACUAAGACUUCUCAGAUGGAUUCAUAUUUACCUGGCAGAACGGUUUCUGGUUCUGUCUUUUCUCCUCAGUUGUUCAUGGGUCACAUGUCCCCAACCGAGAUUGAGCUCUCAGAAGAUUACACUUGUGUGAUAUCGCAUGGGCCUAUCCCGAAGAAAACACAUAUCUUUCACAAUUGCAUCAUUGAGAGCUGCGACAAAGAGUUCCUUACCUUGAAGAAGAGUACAUGUUUGGAUGAUCCGUCAGGAUAUGCUGCAGAUACUUCAUUGAGCUGCUGUGUUUCAUGCAAGGAGGAUAUUGGGAAGGGGAAGGGAAUUUCUCUUUACAGAGGAGAGAAAGGAUUGUGUAGCCAUGAAUGCGGCUACCAAGAGGUGGUCUCCGAUGAAUAGACAGAGAACGCCGACCGAGUAUCUGAAAUCAGCAUGUUCUCUUCCUGGAAGUGAACUUUGGGUGUCUGCUUCCUUGUAUAGUUUCUUUUUCAGAAGUCUUCUGGGUUAAAAUCAGGAUACUAAGAGCCAUCAGAAGUAAUUUUAUUGAAUAGUUCCGGUUAACCAUAAAUGAGGCUGGUGAGGAACCAGUAAUAAUUGUCAAUCAGGUUAUGUUAGAAACAUUUUAUGUAGAAUUCUGAUAUAUAGCAACUAGCAAGCAUGCUUCAUUCAGAAUUCCAAUUAAGCAGCCAACCAUCACAGAAGUGGCCAAAUAGGGUUUCCACAGAAUGCAGUCCCAUCCAGCAUUCUCUUGGUGGUGUUGCUAGUCCACAUGCUAAAAUGAGCAGCGCAAGAAUCAUUCCUGAAUUGUAUGUCAGACAAACUCUAGAAAGUGAUUUGCCAAGAUGUCAAGUGUAUUAUUCAUUUGGUGUCAUGCUUUGCGACUUGGAAUCAACCUCUUUCUUUCUUUACAGGAUAAGAUUGUAUAUUGAUCCUCUCUCCAGACUUUUAAUUUGAAGUUCUUGAAGUUGUUGCACUGUGCCAUCAUGGCAGUCUUGUUGGAAAGGCACCUGGUUCUCGACUCCUUCCUCAUCAUCGAGUUAGUUAUUUUUCCAUGAACAGCUGCAGUUCUCCCUUUAUUUCCAAGCUUUGGUAUAACCCAAUUUUCUCGGUGUCCAUACAACCUCAAGAAGUCAUAUAGUCUCAAUUAUUUAAAAUUGAUUACAUGGAUCUUUUGGGGUUCAUCUGUAUAUAUCAGAAGGUGCAUUAACAUAUUUUCUUUCCUCUUUUUAUA